AAUUGUUCGCAAUGGGCGAAAGCCUGACGACGCAACGCCGCGUGGAGGAUGAAGACCUUCGGGUCGUAAACUCCUUUCGACCGAGAAGAAUGGCCUACGACCUCAUACGUCGUAGGCAUGACGGUAUCGAGGGAAGAAGCCCCGGCUAACCCUGUGCCAGCAGCCGCGGUAAUACAGGGGGGGCGAGCGUUGUCCGGAAUCACUGGGCGUAAAGGGCGCGUAGGCGGCAUGCCAAGCGUGUGGUGAAAGCCCGGGGCUCAACCCCGGGUCGGCCGUGCGGACUGGCAUGCUCGAGCACUGUAGGGGCGGGUGGAAUUCCGGGUGUAGCGGUGGAAUGCGUAGAGAUCCGGAAGAACACCGGUGGCGAAGGCGGCCCGCUGGGCAGGAAGACGGAACAAUCCGUCGGCUGACGCUGAGGCGCGACAGCGUGGGGAGCAAAC
This 440-nucleotide ribosomal RNA is filed under the name uncultured bacterium. RNAcentral describes it as "bacterial SSU rRNA". It matches the Rfam family "Bacterial small subunit ribosomal RNA", at positions 360 to 773 of the family's 1533-position model. The record is from RNAcentral.